This 60-nucleotide ribosomal RNA is filed under the name uncultured organism. RNAcentral describes it as "partial 16S ribosomal RNA". The record is from RNAcentral.
AGGACUUGACAUGUUACGAAUUUCCUUGAAAAAGGAAAGUGCCUUCGGGAACGUAAACAC